CUUACCAUACCACACAAAUCUCUACAUUUCCGAAGCUGUCCAAAUCUAACACAUAAUACAGGGAGCAAGAGUAAAUCCUAAACUGGGGAAGCCAACUACUCUCUAAUUGAAGGCGAUCUGAAAGCCAACUGCACCGACUCGACGUUAUUAUGAAGGAGCUGAACCCCUACCAGCCUAUAAACUCUGUGGACACAACUAAUUUUGACUGGAAGUGCAGAGUAAGGGUACAAUCAUUCAGGAAAGGCCUUAACAGAGAGAGUCAGGAAUUUUGGGGAUUUAAUAUGGUACUAAUAGAUGAUUCGAAUGAUAGGAUACAUGCUUUUGCGAAUUCCAAAUAUUGUCAUGACCUGGUGAAGGAUAUAAAAGAAGGAGAGGUUUAUGUCAUCUCGAAUUUAAAAGUAAAAGAUUACUUGGGAGAUGAAAAAUACCGCGCUGUCCGAAAUAAGAAGCAUAU
Molecule: long non-coding RNA, 454 nt
Organism: Daucus carota subsp. sativus
Lineage: Eukaryota; Viridiplantae; Streptophyta; Magnoliopsida; Apiales; Apiaceae
Exons: 3
Source: RefSeq, a predicted model, not a curated record